RNAcentral lists this small nuclear RNA (153 nucleotides) under Cavia porcellus (domestic guinea pig). RNAcentral describes it as "U4 spliceosomal RNA (ENSCPOG00000029368.2)". The stretch from base 1 to 75 matches the Rfam family "U4 spliceosomal RNA". Lineage: Eukaryota; Metazoa; Chordata; Mammalia; Rodentia; Caviidae. The record is from RNAcentral.
AGGUUUGCACAGAGGCAGAGUCAUAGUCGAUGAGGUUUAUCUGAGGCAUGAUUAUUGCUAAUUGAAAAAAAAAGUGGGAGAAACCAGCCCCAGGAAUUCCCUCCGCCAGUUUGCAGGCUGAAUCCACUGCUGUUCCUGGUCCUUGCUUAGGAA